UACGGGGGGAGCAAGCGUUGUUCGGAUUUACUGGGCGUAAAGGGCGCGUAGGCGGUCAGCACAAGUCAGUUGUGAAAUCUCCGGGCUUAACUCGGAAAGGUCAACUGAUACUGUGCGACUAGAGUGCGGAAGGGGCAACUGGAAUUCUCGGUGUAGCGGUGAAAUGCGUAGAUAUCGAGAGGAACACCUGCGGCGAAGGCGGGUUGCUGGGCCGACACUGACGCUGAUGCGCGAAAGCCAGGGGGAGCGAACGGGG
Molecule: ribosomal RNA, 256 nt
Filed under: uncultured bacterium
Lineage: Bacteria
Description: partial 16S ribosomal RNA
Rfam family: Bacterial small subunit ribosomal RNA
Source: RNAcentral